GGUACAGAAGAAGGCUCAUACUACCACCAGGGUCAUAAAACUACCCCUGGAAAUGCCCACAACUCCUAUGAAAGCCUUGUCAAAUAUGUGUUUCUAGGUUCACGGUACAGAAGAAGGGUCACACUACCACCAGGGUCAUAAAACUACCCCUGGAAAUGCCCACAACUCCUACGAAAGCCUUGUCAAAUAUGUGUUUCUAGGUUCAUGGUACAGAGGAAGGGUCACACUACCACCAGGGUCAUAAAACUACCCCUGGAAAUGACCACAACUCCUACGAAAGCCUUGUCAAAUAUGUGUUUCUAGGUUCACGGUACAGAAGAAGGGUCAAACUACCACCAGGGUCAUAAAACUACUCGUGGAAAUGCCCACAACUCCUAUGAAAGCCUUGUCAAAUAGGUGUUUCUAGGUUCACGGUACAGAGGAAGGGUCAAACUACCACCAGGGUCAUAAAACUACUCGUGGAAAUGCCCACAACUCCUAUGAAAGCCUUGUCAAAUAGGUGUUUCUAGGUUCACGGUACAGAGGAAGGGUCAAACUACCACCAGGGUCAUACAACUACCCCUGGAAAUGCCCACAACUCCUAUGAAAGCCUUGUCAAAUAUGUGUUUCUGAGUUCGGCUGAAACCCCACACCCACGCCCGGGACACAACCCCAAGCGACACCCAUUCACUGCUGGGCGGACAGGGGCACGGGGUAGAGGAGGCUGCCCAUCCGUCUCCACUCCGCCCGGGAAUCGAACACGGGACCUCUUGGUUGUGAGGCGAGAGCGUGUGUUUGAUGGCCCUGACCUGACCUGCAAUGUCUAAGUGUAAUAAUAAUAAUAAUAAUAAUAAUAAUAAUAAUAAUAAUAAUAAUAAUAGCAACGAAAAUGAACUAUAACAUAAAAACUAUCCCUAAUAUCAUUUUAAUCACUCUGCUCCCUAUUAUAAUUAUCAGUAGUAUUCUAUCGCGCUGUGUUGUCUUGUUCUGCGGGGGGGGGGGGGGGGGGGGGGGUGGGGACGCGGCCCCAAACUUGGCUAUAUCAUUUAAAUAAGGUUUCCCGUAGAAGGUUUGCGGCUGGCUCCGUGCCCUCCCAUACGUGACGCAAGACUCACAAAACGCGCAAUUUCAACUUAAAGCCCCGAUUGAGGAAACUGGUUGAAAGCAGCUUGAAAGUCAGCUUGAGAGACACAUUCAGACCACAGUCCAACGCAGCGUCUUCGUAACAGACCCGAACCAAGCUAUAGAAUCCCAUACAAUCCAAAACGGUGAGGUCUUCUAUGCCUCACUAAACACACAAGGCUUUUCCUGUAUAGUUUCAUCAAAUUUGUGAACUUGUAUAUAAACACCAGACACUGUACAAGGAAAUUUCGAAGGCUCUGGUAUUGGUUUGGGAGCUUACUAACCCGUCAUGGGGAAGAGGUGAAUUACACACACACACACACACACACACACACACACACACACACACACACCUCCGCAGCGCCAUGGUUAGCAGACUCGCCUCAGCCGUGUGUCCCGGGUUCGAUUCUCGGGCAGAGUGGAGCCCUCGCUGUAAAAACUAGCGGUUCCACUCCCCCCCCUCCCCCCUCCCCCCCCCCCCCCUCGCGCGCGGAAGGCUCUGUAAUCCGUUACUUCCUGAUCAAAGGACUCAUCUUGUAUACAGUUGAUCAGGAUGCAAGGAAGUCACACAUCCUUCCGUGUCUUCUUAUAUCGCAUUUUAUAACAAGAAAAAUAUACUUUCUUUAAUUUACAGCAAAGGAGACAGCUCAAGGGCACAAAAAAAGGAAACAAUAAUUAAAAAAAGCCCGCUACUCGCUGCUCCUAAAAAGAAUCCAAAGAGGUGGCCGAAAGAGAGGUCAGUUUCGGGAGGAGAGGUGUCCUGAUACCCUCCUCUUGAAAGAGUUCAAGUCGUAGGCAGGAGGAAAUACAGAUGAAGGAAGAUCGUUCCAGAGUUUACCAGCGUGAGGGAUGAAAGAGUGAAGAUGCUGGUUAACUCUUGCAUAAGGGGUUUGGACAGUAUAGGGAUGAAAGAGUGAUGAUGCUGGUUAACUCUUGCAUAAGGGGUUUGGACAGUAUAGGAAUGAAAGAGUGAAGAUGCUGGUUAACUCUUGCAUAAGGGGUUUGGACAGUAUAGGGAUGAAAGAGUGAAGAUGCUGGUUAACUCUUGCAUAAGGGUUUGGACAGUAUAGGGAUGAAAGAGUGAAGAUGCUGGUUAACUCUUGCAUAAGGGGUUUGGACAGUAUAGGGAUGAAAGAGUGAAGAUGCUGGUUAACUCUUGCAUAAGGGGUUUGGACAGUAUAGGGAUGAAAGAGUGAAGAUGCUGGUUAACUCUUGCAUAAGGGGUUUGGACAGUAUAGGGAUGAAAGAGUGAAGAUGCUGGUUAACUCUUGCAUAAGGGGUUUGGACAGUAUAGGGAUGAAAGAGUGAAGAUGCUGGUUAACUCUUGCAUAAGUGAUUUGGACAGUAUAGGGAUGAAAGAGUGAAGAUGCUGGUUAACUCUUGCAUAAGGGGUUUGGACAGUAUAGGGAUGAAAGAGUGAAGAUGCUGGUUAACUCUUGCAUAAGGGGUUUGGACAGUAUAGGGAUGAAAGAGUGAAGAUGCUGGUUAACUCUUGCAUAAGGGGUUUGGACAGUAAAGGGAUGAAAGAGUGAAGAUGCUGGUUAACUCUUGCAUAAGGGGUUUGGACAGUAUAGGGAUGAAAGAGUGAAGAUGCAGCAAGCAAUAUUCACUACAAUUGAGUCCAUCAUUGCUGGAAGUAUCAUUAGCGGGUAAAAAAAACGUUUAAAACAGUGUAAUCUUGUGACGCCUAAACACACCGCGAUAACACAUCUUUUAAUUCCAUUGAGUUUUGAAAACCGUGUUAUGAUAUAAACAACUCUUGCCUGUCUUGUGUAGCAGACCAGCGACCUCCAGGACUAAUGAGCGUGCUGGGUGGAGGACUCACAAGGCCUGCCACGCCCGCCAACAGGUAUACGCAAAGUUGGAAAGUUUGGUUUAGUCGGCGCA
Long non-coding RNA from Eriocheir sinensis (Chinese mitten crab), 2988 nucleotides. RefSeq lists it as uncharacterized. The record is from RefSeq and is a predicted model, not a curated record. Lineage: Eukaryota; Metazoa; Arthropoda; Malacostraca; Decapoda; Varunidae. The transcript is spliced from 4 exons.